Molecule: ribosomal RNA, 294 nt
Filed under: uncultured bacterium
Lineage: Bacteria
Description: partial 16S ribosomal RNA
Rfam family: Bacterial small subunit ribosomal RNA
Source: RNAcentral
GACGAACGCUGGCGGCGUGCUUAACACAUGCAAGUCGAGCGGUAAGGCCCUUUCGGGGGUACGACGAGCGGCGAACGGGUGAGUAACACGUGGGUGACCUGCCCUCCAGCUCUGGGAGUAAGCCUGGGAAACCGGGGUACUAAUACUGGAUAUGACUCCAUGACGCAUGUUGUGGGGUGGAAAGCCUUGUGCGGCUGAGGGUGGGCCCGCGGCCUAUCAGCUUGUUGGUGGGGUGAUGGCCUACCAAGGCGACGACGGGUAGCUGGUCUGAGAGGAUGGCCAGCCACAUUGGGA